UCUCCAGACUCCUACGGGAGGCAGCAGUGAGGAAUAUUGGUCAAUGGGCUUACGCCUGAACCAGCCAAGUCGCGUGAGGGAAGACUGCCCUAUGGGUUGUAAACCUCUUUUGUCAGGGAGCAAUUGGCGCUACGUGUAGCGUUAUCGAGAGUACCUGAAGAAAAAGCAUCGGCUAACUCCGUGCCAGCAGCCGCGGUAAUACGGAGGAUGCGAGCGUUAUCCGGAUUUAUUGGGUUUAAAGGGUGCGUAGGCGGAAUGCCAAGUCAGGGGUAAAAUCGCGGGGCUCAACCUCGCUCCGCCGUUGAAACUGGCGUUCUUGAGUGGGCGAGAAGUAUGCGGAAUGCGUGGUGUAGCGGUGAAAUGCUUAGAGAUCAUACAGAACACCGAUUGCGAAGGCAGCUUACCAAGCUACUUCUGACGUUGAGGCACGAAAGCGUGGGGAGCAAACAGGAUUAGAUACCCCCGUA
RNAcentral lists this ribosomal RNA (467 nucleotides) under uncultured bacterium. RNAcentral describes it as "bacterial SSU rRNA". It matches the Rfam family "Bacterial small subunit ribosomal RNA", at positions 328 to 792 of the family's 1533-position model. The record is from RNAcentral.